This 1320-nucleotide ribosomal RNA is filed under the name Bigelowiella natans. Its description in RNAcentral is "partial Bacterial small subunit ribosomal RNA". It matches the Rfam family "Bacterial small subunit ribosomal RNA". Lineage: Eukaryota; Cercozoa; Chlorarachniophyceae. The record is from RNAcentral.
GGGUUUGAUCCUGGCUCAGAGUGAACGCUAGGGGUACGCAUAACACAUGCGAGUCAACGUAUCGUGGCGAACGGGUGAGUACAGCAGGCAAUUACGCCCGGUAGCUCAGAAUAAAUUCUGGAUAAAAAGAUUAAUCGUUGCCGGAUAUGUCUGUGUAGGAUUAGAUAAUCGUAGAGAGUCGAUGAUCCUUAGUUGAUCUGGGAAGGAUGCACAGCCACAUUGGAACUGAGACAAGGUCCAAGCUCCAGUAGGAGGCAGCAGUGAGGAAUAUUGGGCAAUGGGCGAAAGCCUGACCCAACGAUACCCCGUGAUUGAAGAAGACCAAGGUCGUAAAGGUACGCGGUCAGUAAAGAUUACGACGGUAACUGGCCAAAAAGCCCCGGCUAACUCCGUGCCAGCAGCCGCGGUAAUACGGGGGAUGCAAGCGUUAUCCGGAAUUAUUGGGUGUAAAGCGUCUGUAGGUUGCUUACUUAAGUCAGUUGUUAAAUUUCAGAACUCAAUUUUGAUACCAGCAACUGAAACUAAUAAGCUAGAGUCAAGUAGAGGUAGAAGGAACUCCGAGUGUAGCGGUGAAAUGCGUAGAUAUUCGGAAGAACACCGAUGGCGAAAGCAUUCUGCUGGACUUGUACUGACACUGAGAGACGAAAGCGAGGGGAGAGAAUGGGAUUAGAUACCCCAGUAUUCCUCGCCGUAAACGAUGGAUAUUAGGUAUUAGGUAAAACUAUUUAGUACUGAAGCUAACGCGUUAAAUAUCCCACCUGGGGAGUAUGCUCGCAAGAGUGAAACUUAAAGGAAUUGACGGGGGCCCGCACAAGCGGUGGAGCAUGUGGUUUAAUUCGACAACGCGAAGAACCUUACCAGGACUCGACUACAUCUAUCGCUCUUUGAAAGAAGAGAUUGUUAAGGAUGACAGGUGGUGCAUGGCUGUCGUCAGCUCGUGCCGUGAGGUGUUGGGUUAAGUCCCGCAACGAGCGCAACCCUUGUUUUUAGUUAUUUCUCUAAAAGUACUGCCGGUGACAAACCGGAGGAAGGUGGGGAUGACGUCAGGUCAUCAUGGCCCUUACGGCCAGGGCUACACACGUGCUACAAUGGUGCGUACAGAGGGCUGCAAACCCGCGAGGGGGAGCUAAUCUCACAAAACGCAUCGUAGUCCGGAUCGGAGUCUGCAACUCGACUCCGUGAAGUCGGAAUCGCUAGUAAUCGCGAAUCAGAAUGUCGCGGUGAAUACGUUCCCGGGCCUUGUACACACCGCCCGUCACACCACGGAAAUUGGCUACACCCAAAGCUAUUACCUUAACCAAAUCAAGGAGAGGGGUAUCU